Molecule: ribosomal RNA, 211 nt
Filed under: uncultured organism
Description: partial 16S ribosomal RNA
Source: RNAcentral
UUGACUGACUGAGUGCCAGCAGCCGCGGGUGGGGCAGAUGAUUGGGGUGAAGUCGUAACAAGGUAACCUCAGUCAGUCAAGUCGUAACAAGGUAACCUCAGUCAGUCAAGUCGUAUACAAGGUAACCUCAGUCAGUCAGAGUCGUAACAAGGUAACCUCAGUCAGUCAAGUCGUAACAAGGUAACCUCAGUCAGUCAAUCCCGCGAGCCGA